Molecule: ribosomal RNA, 736 nt
Filed under: uncultured bacterium
Lineage: Bacteria
Description: bacterial SSU rRNA
Rfam family: Bacterial small subunit ribosomal RNA
Source: RNAcentral
CACGCGGUAAACGAUGAAUGCUAGGUGUUGGUGGGCAAAGCCCAUCGGUGCCGUCGCAAACGCAAUAAGCAUUCCACCUGGGGAGUACGUUCGCAAGAAUGAAACUCAAAGGAAUUGACGGGGACCCGCACAAGCGGUGGAGCAUGUGGUUUAAUUCGAAGCAACGCGAAGAACCUUACCAAGUCUUGACAUCCUCCUGAAUGAUGGGUAAAGCCAUCAGGCCUUCGGGACAGGAGAGACAGGUGGUGCAUGGUUGUCGUCAGCUCGUGUCGUGAGAUGUUGGGUUAAGUCCCGCAACGAGCGCAACCCUUAUCAUUAGUAGCCAGCAGGUAGAGCUGGGGACUCUAGUGAGACUGCCAGGGAGAACCUGGAGGAAGGUGGGGAUGACGUCAAAUCAUCAUGCCCCUUAUGAUUUGGGCUACACACGUGCUACAAUGGCGUAAACAGAGGGAGGCGAAAGUGAGAGCUGGAGCGAACCCCAAAAAUAACGUCUCAGUUCGGAUUGUAGUCUGCAACUCGACUACAUGAAGCUGGAAUCGCUAGUAAUCGCGAAUCAGAAUGUCGCGGUGAAUACGUUCCCGGGUCUUGUACACACCGCCCGUCACACCAUGGGAGUCAGUAACGCCCGAAGUCAGUGACCGAACCUGAGAGGGAAGGAGCUGCCGAAGGCGGGACGGAUAACUGGGGUGAAGCCGUAACAAGGUAGCCGUAUCGGAAGGUGCGGUUGGAUCACCUC